Nilaparvata lugens (brown planthopper) is the source of this 150-nucleotide long non-coding RNA. RefSeq lists it as uncharacterized. Lineage: Eukaryota; Metazoa; Arthropoda; Insecta; Hemiptera; Delphacidae. The transcript is spliced from 3 exons. The record is from RefSeq and is a predicted model, not a curated record.
CUUCGACCAGAGAUCACAAAAACGGCAGACAUCAUGAAGAAUUUAAAGAAGAAGAUGAAAACCAAUGACCUGAUGAUUUUGAAAGCUGACAAAGGAUGCACUACAGUAAUAAUGGAUGAGGACGAAUAUCUAAGUAAGCUCUUGAAUCUU